RNAcentral lists this ribosomal RNA (453 nucleotides) under uncultured bacterium. RNAcentral's name for it is "bacterial SSU rRNA". It matches the Rfam family "Bacterial small subunit ribosomal RNA", at positions 8 to 507 of the family's 1533-position model. The record is from RNAcentral.
AGAGUUUGAUCAUGGCUCAGAACGAACGCUGGCGGCAUGCCUAACACAUGCAAGUCGAACGAGACCUUCGGGUCUAGUGGCGCACGGGUGCGUAACGCGUGGGAAUCUGCCCUUGGGUUCGGAAUAACAGCGAGAAAUUGCUGCUAAUACCGGAUGAUGACGUAAGUCCAAAGAUUUAUCGCCCAAGGAUGAGCCCGCGUAGGAUUAGCUAGUUGGUGAGGUAAAGGCUCACCAAGGCGACGAUCCUUAGCUGGUCUGAGAGGAUGAUCAGCCACACUGGGACUGAGACACGGCCCAGACUCCUACGGGAGGCAGCAGUGGGGAAUAUUAGACAAUGGGCGAAAGCCUGAUCCAGCAAUGCCGCGUGAGUGAUGAAGGCCUUAGGGUUGUAAAGCUCUUUUACCCGGGAUGAUAAUGACAGUACCGGGAGAAUAAGCUCCGGCUAACUCCGUG